AGUCGAACGAGAGAAGAUUGGUGCUUGCACUGAUCCGAUCGAGUGGCGGACGGGUGAGUAACGCGUGGGUAACCUGCCUCAUACAGGGGAAUAACAGUUGGAAACGGCUGCUAAAACCGCAUAAGCGCACAGUAUCGCAUGAUACAGUGUGAAAAACUCCGGUGGUAUGAGAUGGACCCGCGUCUGAUUGGCUAGUUGGUGAGGUAACGGCCCACCAAGGCGACGAUCAGUAGCCGGCCUGAGAGGGUGAACGGCCACAUUGGGACUGAGACACGGCCCAAACUCCUACGGGAGGCAGCAGUGGGGAAUAUUGCACAAUGGGGGAAACCCUGAUGCAGCGACGCCGCGUGAGUGAUGAAGUAUUUCGGUAUGUAAAGCUCUAUCAGCAGGAAAGAUAAUGACGGUACCUGACUAAGAAGCACCGGCUAAAUACGUGCCAGCAGCCGCGGUAAUACGUAUGGUGCAAGCGUUAUCCGGAUUUACUGGGUGUGAAGGGUGCGUAGGUGGUGAGACAAGUCUGAAGUGAAAAUCCGGGGCUUAACCCCGGAACUGCUUUGGAAACUGCCUGACUAGAGUACAGGAGAGGUAAGUGGAAUUCCUAGUGUAGCGGUGAAAUGCGUAGAUAUUAGGAGGAACACCAGUGGCGAAGGCGACUUACUGGACUGCUACUGACACUGAGGCACGAA
This 686-nucleotide ribosomal RNA is filed under the name uncultured bacterium. RNAcentral's name for it is "bacterial SSU rRNA". It matches the Rfam family "Bacterial small subunit ribosomal RNA", at positions 60 to 757 of the family's 1533-position model. The record is from RNAcentral.